CGGAGGAAAAGAAACCAACAGGGAUUGCCUCAGUAACGGCGAGUGAAGCGGCAAAAGCUCAAAUUUGAAAUCUAGCACCUUCGGUGUUUGAGUUGUAAUUUGAAGAUGGUAACCUUGGGUUUGGCUCUUGUCUAUGUUCCUUGGAACAGGACGUCAUAGAGGGUGAGAAUCCCGUCUGAUGAGAUGCCCAUUCCUAUGUAAGGUGCUAUCGAAGAGUCGAGUUGUUUGGGAAUGCAGCUCUAAGUGGGUGGUAAAUUCCAUCUAAAGCUAAAUAUUGGCGAGAGACCGAUAGCGAACAAGUACAGUGAUGGAAAGAUGAAAAGAACUUUGAAAAGAGAGUGAAAAAGUACGUGAAAUUGUUGAAAGGGAAGGGCAUUAGAUCAGACUUGGUGUUUUACGAUUAUCUUCUCUUCUUGAGUUGUGCACUCGUAUUUCACUGGGCCAGCAUCGAUUCGGAUGGCAAGAUAAUGGCAGUUGAAUGUGGCUUCACUUCGGUGGAGUGUUAUAGCUUCUGCUGAUAUUGCCUGUCUGGAUCGAGGGCUGCGUCUUUUGACUAGGAUGCUGGCGUAAUGAUCUAAUGCCGCCCGUCUUG
RNAcentral lists this ribosomal RNA (592 nucleotides) under Hansenula anomala. RNAcentral's name for it is "LSU rRNA". It matches the Rfam family "Eukaryotic large subunit ribosomal RNA", at positions 51 to 656 of the family's 3401-position model. The record is from RNAcentral. Lineage: Eukaryota; Fungi; Ascomycota; Saccharomycetes; Phaffomycetales; Wickerhamomycetaceae.